GCGUGCGCAGGCGGUUAUAUAAGACAGAUGUGAAAUACCCCGGGCCUCAACCUGGGAACUGCAUUUGUGACUGUAUAGCUGGAGUGCGGCAGAGGGGGGAUGGAAUUCCGCGUGUAGCAGUGAAAUGCGUAGAUAUGCGGAGGAACACCGAUGGCGAAGGCAAUCCCCUGGGCCUGCACUGACGCUCAUGCACGAAAGCGUGGGGAGCAAACAGGAUUAGAUACCCCAGU
RNAcentral lists this ribosomal RNA (230 nucleotides) under uncultured bacterium. RNAcentral's name for it is "partial 16S ribosomal RNA". It matches the Rfam family "Bacterial small subunit ribosomal RNA", at positions 565 to 791 of the family's 1533-position model. The record is from RNAcentral.